AUCUACAACCAUGCCACCCUGAAUGUGCCUGAUCUCGUCUGAUCUCGGAAGCUAAGCAGGGUCGGCUCUGGUUAGUACUUGGAUGGGAGACCACUUAGGAAUAUCAGGUGUCGUAGGUG
This 119-nucleotide ribosomal RNA is filed under the name Pteropus alecto (black flying fox). Lineage: Eukaryota; Metazoa; Chordata; Mammalia; Chiroptera; Pteropodidae. The record is from RNAcentral.